UACCCAAGGCCGGACUCGAACCGGCACGCCCGUUAAGGCGGGGGAUUUUGAAUCCCCUGCGUCUACCAUUCCGCCACUUGGGC
RNAcentral lists this transfer RNA (83 nucleotides) under uncultured alpha proteobacterium EB080_L58F04. RNAcentral's name for it is "tRNA-Leu". The record is from RNAcentral. Lineage: Bacteria; Pseudomonadati; Pseudomonadota; Alphaproteobacteria.